UACGAAGGGUGCAAGCGUUACUCGGAAUUACUGGGCGUAAAGCGUGCGUAGGCGGUUUUUCAAGCUUGAUGUGAAAGCCCCGGGCUUAACCUGGGAAUGGCAUUGAGGACUGAGAGGCUAGAGUGCGGCAGAGGGAGGUGGAAUUCCACGUGUAGCAGUGAAAUGCGUAGAGAUGUGGAGGAACACCGAUGGCGAAGGCAGCCUCCUGGGCCGACACUGACGCUGAGGGCACGAAAGCGUGGGGAGCAAGCAGG
Molecule: ribosomal RNA, 254 nt
Filed under: uncultured bacterium
Lineage: Bacteria
Description: partial 16S ribosomal RNA
Rfam family: Bacterial small subunit ribosomal RNA
Source: RNAcentral